Molecule: transfer RNA, 89 nt
Filed under: Bacteroidales bacterium
Lineage: Bacteria; Pseudomonadati; Bacteroidota; Bacteroidia; Bacteroidales
Also listed under: 1 other name
Description: tRNA-Ser
Rfam family: tRNA
About the family: Transfer RNA (tRNA) molecules are approximately 80 nucleotides in length.
Source: RNAcentral
GGAGAGAUGGGUGAGUGGCUGAAACCAACGGUUUGCUAAACCGUCGUACCUGUCAAAGGGUACCGGGGGUUCGAAUCCCCCUCUCUCCG